CCCCCCCCUCCUUGUUGGAGCUGAGUGCUUCCUGGGGUGGUUUCUGCACCUUAGAAUUUACUUAACCAAGGGUCGUUAUUGCUGUGUUUUAUUUGCGGUGAGUUUUGUGGGUGUGAUUUCUGAUUAGUGAGGUUCAUUUCCCUUUUGUACAGCUGGUGCUGUCGUACUAGCCUGCCGUUCAUACAAGAAGCCUCAGUUCUCCUAUGACUAUUGUUAAUUUCCUCUCGUGACUUUUAUUUAACCAAUGCCUGACAGUGCUGGCUGGCUUUUCUUUAAAAAUUAAAAAAUAAAUUAAUUUAAAUAAAACUAUUUUUUGUAUGGAAACCCAUGCCUCUUGCCUGUUCUAAGUGGCUCGUAUCUGUGUGCCUUUGUUUGGGUUGUUUCCCGAUUUUCUUGGGGUGGUGUAGUUGUUGCAAACGAGCCACUUGCUACACUAAAAAAUAAUUGCAAGAUAUUAAAUACACUUGAACCACAGUGCUGCUGAAUUCUUGUUUCUCAUUAGUCAGAAGGUGUUGAUUCAUUUUCUAUAACAGUGGGUCUGACGGUUAUAGAAAAGCAAAUCACAGGUUUAUAUUAAUUAGCUUAUUGUAAUACUUCAUCAUUCCAACUUGUACACAACUUGUAUGGUGGCUGUUCUACAUAAACAGACUCUCUUCAAAAAGUGUGUAACUGCUGAUAUGGUGAAACUUGCUAAACUUCAGAAACACCCAUCAGUCUCCUUAUUUUACAGAAGUGGGGUCUCAGGAAAUGUUGCUUAUUCCAGAUGUUCUUCUAAGCAUAGAGGACAGUUAGAGUUCAGUUUAGUCUCAAUGUUCCUUAGAUCUAAUACACUGAUGAAAAUGAGGUCAGUGUGUGACUACAGCAUGCAUAUGUUUUUCUAUUGACACCCAAGUAGGGGGGUGAGGGUGUGUGUGUGUGAAAUGGAUGCAGUAAUACACAGCUGUUUCUUCUGUCUUCACAUUAUGUCCUCUCAGUCAUUGUGCUGCUGGAGCUGAAAUACUGAACUUUAUAGAAUCUUUGAUUAUCGUCACCACUCCAAAUGUGGUUCUCCACUCCAGAGUUUUUCCUGCAGGUUGUCGAAUCCAAGCUGUGGUGUAGCUGUUAUCAGUAACAGAGUAGCCGGAUACUUUACAGCUGAGGGUUAAAGAAUCUCCUGGCUUUAACAUCACUGAGGUGACCUGAGUGAGUUCCAUUGCACAUCCCACAUCUGGAAAAAAGAGAUGUCACAAUUUCAGUCACAAAUGUAUGUACAGUAGGUUAUAACUGUAAUAACUUACUACAGUAGAAGCUGAGUUCAUUAUUGAAGUGAAAGUCGCUGGAUGAAGCUGCCAGCAGCAGCAAAAAUGAAAGGAACAUCGUUGAACUAAAAGCAGUGCUAAAUUCUGUCUCCUACAGGUUUUAAUCACAAUGGAAAUGUUCUCUGGUGCAUACCAUGGUUUGUAUUAACUAAAGCUAGACCAAUUAAUUUAAAUUUAGUACUAGAAAUGACCAUUAUAUGCUGCAUAGACAUCCGUCAAUACCAAACAUUUGUAACUAGGAGAGCACAUCACAUUUGAAUGAAAUAAUCUUUUAUACAUUUACAGUAAGAGCUUUAUUCUGGUCAGGGUUGCAUUGGAUCUGGAGGCUAUUGGGUGUGAAAAAGGUGACCUGCACUUAUCUGUAUGUGGUAAUAUCAGGUGGACACCUCCACUUGGAUGAAGGAACGUGAUUAUAACUCUCCCUACAGUGAUUCAGAGAGUGAACCAGAUUCUUAGGUAAUUUGAUUCAGCUGCUGUUCUCAUUGUGAGGCUGUAGAAUUUACUGGGGCAGAUUUAAUGAUUCAUUGCUAAUUUGGCCUGCAGGAGAGUGAGGAGAGACUUGCAUUUUUGGAGUUGGAGGUCUCCUUUAUUAGCUACCAUUUAUCAGUGAGAGGGGUUCUCGCUGUGUGCACUCUGUCAGGCGUUUUCUGUGAGUAAAACCUUUAUUUAGCUGCUGUCAUUGUGCAGGUAAAUUACACUCUGCUUUAACUUAUAUUGUGUGCAGUCUUGUAUUCAGACUCUGCUUGUCAGCAUCCACAACCUGAACUUCUUGCUUGUGGUGGGAAAGAAGUCUGUGAUGCAUCUGGCAGCAGCUAACAACCAGGUGACUUCAGAAUGAUGGACUGUUUCAUUUUUGUGCGACAUACUUUCAGUUACUGUUUUAGUGGUUAAAUAUAAAAACAGUAACAGGUAAUUAGGCAGUGAAGAAAACUGUAUUGCAUACACUUUAAGACACAAGUGCAAUGUAGCUACAGUAACUAUUGAAAUAACUAGCAUUCAUAGUUAACUUUCUUUUUGUAAUAAUAGCCUGCUAAGAAUUAAGGACAAAUAUUAAAAUAAAAUGUAUGUGAUGAAAAUGGUUCUGGGAAAUGCAGUACUUGGAAAUUUGGCCCAUGUAGUACAUCAUCUGUGUAACUUUAGUGGAGUACUCGACAUGUUAGGUUUACAUACUGUUUCUUAUUAGGGUUUAAAAUGAGUAGACAUGCUGAACAUUAUAGCCAAAGUGAGUUAUAAAGAUUUUUUGUUUGCUUUAACAUGAUGUGGUGGUUGUGUAGCUGCCUUAGGAGUUUCUGAUUCAAUUCCUGAGAAGUCUUUCAAAUCAGAAGUUGAUUGUAACAGAGCUCUUUGGGGCUCUCUUCAGGGUAGCUUGCAAAUGCCUGUGUAAAAUGACAGAUCAAAAUCUUUCAGAUUUAAAAAUUAUAUAGAAAACAGGACUCUAAUAUAUCAAGCAAAUUUUCUCCUCUGUGCAGCUCCACUAUUACAACUGCUGGGACGUGGUUUAUGAGCUACUUCAGUUUGGAUACUUCACAAGUGACUCAGCUCCUGAGGCAGUAAAUGACUUCUCAGGAGAUUUAAAAGUGAUGCUUUAAUGUAGUUUCAGAACAUGGACUAUUAUCUCAUUUUGUUUAACCAUAUUUUUACCCUGAUAUUCCUAAAAUGCGAGGGAGGAUUUUUGGAGAGCCUGUUUGGGUUCGUCAGUAUGUGGGAUGUGGACGUGUGGGAGCCUACAGCAGAGCUGUACUUCACAGUGCUUAUUGGAAGUGUCAAAUAUCUUCUGAUGCCAUGAUUCACAAACUCAUACUCAGUGACACUAUGCUGGCCAUCCCUCAUCCCUCAACACUCAUCCCUCAACACUCACCCCUUUAUACUCUAUCUCUCAGUACUUUAUCAUUAUCCCCAUCACUCUAUUCCUUUCAGUAGCCCAACGAGUCUAUAUAGAUAGACAACAGAAAAUUAAUUUCUCACUCGUAUACAAAUAAUUUUUUAAAGAAUUUCUGAAACUGUGAAAAAUGACAUAACAUUCAUGAAAUUUGCUGAUGGCCCCAAAUUGUAGAAAAAUCAGUAAACCUUUGAGAACUGCACAUGUACAUUUAAGUGUGUCACGAAUCGUGACGGAGCAGAGAUAGGACGGAUGCAAGUGCAGGAUGAACAGUUGUUUAUUUGAAAGACAGACAGGCAGACAAAUCCAAAACGUAAACCAUAAACAUGCAAGAGGUCAGGCGAUUGGCAAACAGGCAUACAUGGGGCAAGGCAGGAAUCUAGGUCGUGGUCACGGAAAACAGGGUCGAUAAACAAAACAAGAAAGCGGAAGAAGCGGAUAAUCCAGCGCGAACUGACUAUGACACGAGCUGAACUGACUCUAAACAUUUACUCUUCCGCGUUGUGUGCUAGGAGGCGCGCGAUCAGCGUCUAAACCGCUAGCAGCUGAGAGCAACUCAGACCCACGUGAAAUCCCAGCCAAUGACAGAACAGGGAGGAGACAGAAACAUAAACAAAACACACGUGUCCAGAUGUCAUUACAGUCAACAACGGAAAAGCAGGUGCUCGCGCACUCGCGCUUAGAGCACGCUGCUUCAAGGGGGAAUCGUGACAGUGUCCAUAGCAAAACUAUAAAAA
Ictalurus punctatus (channel catfish) is the source of this 3914-nucleotide long non-coding RNA. RefSeq lists it as uncharacterized. The transcript has 2 exons. The record is from RefSeq and is a predicted model, not a curated record. NCBI's taxonomy places the organism in Eukaryota, Metazoa, Chordata, Actinopteri, Siluriformes, Ictaluridae.